This 497-nucleotide ribosomal RNA is filed under the name uncultured bacterium. RNAcentral describes it as "partial 16S ribosomal RNA". It matches the Rfam family "Bacterial small subunit ribosomal RNA", at positions 28 to 507 of the family's 1533-position model. The record is from RNAcentral.
GAUGAACGCUGGCGGCGUGCCUAAUACAUGCAAGUCGAGCGAACAGACGAGGAGCUUGCUCCUCUGACGUUAGCGGCGGACGGGUGAGUAACACGUGGAUAACCUACCUAUAAGACUGGGAUAACUUCGGGAAACCGGAGCUAAUACCGGAUAAUAUAUUGAACCGCAUGGUUCAAUAGUGAAAGACGGUUUUGCUGUCACUUAUAGAUGGAUCCGCGCCGCAUUAGCUAGUUGGUAAGGUAACGGCUUACCAAGGCAACGAUGCGUAGCCGACCUGAGAGGAUGAUCAGCCACACUGGAACUGAGACACGGUCCAGACUCCUACGGGAGGCAGCAGUAGGGAAUCUUCCGCAAUGGGCGAAAGCCUGACGGAGCAACGCCGCGUGAGUGAUGAAGGUCUUCGGAUCGUAAAACUCUGUUAUUAGGGAAGAACAAAUGUGUAAGUAACUAUGCACGUCUUGACGGUACCAAAUCAGAAAGCCACGGCUAACUACGUG